GGAGGAGGCUAGCGUUGUUCGGAAUUACUGGGCGUAAAGCGCACGCAGGUGGCUUGGGAAGUUGGAUGUGAAAGCCCGGGGCUUAACCCCGGAAUAGCAUCCAAAACUUCCAAGCUCGAGUCCGGAAGAGGAGAGUGGAAUUCCCAGUGUAGAGGUGAAAUUCGUAGAUAUUGGGAAGAACACCGGUGGCGAAGGCGGCUCUCUGGUCCGGUUCUGACACUCAAGUGCGACAGCGUGGGGAGCAAACAGGAUUAGAUACCCUGGUAGUCCACGCCGUAAACGAUGCGCGCUAGAUGUCGGGAGGCUUGCCUCUCGGUGUCGUAGCUAACGCGUUAAGCGCGCCGCCUGGGGAGUACGGCCGCAAGGUUA
RNAcentral lists this ribosomal RNA (369 nucleotides) under uncultured bacterium. RNAcentral describes it as "bacterial SSU rRNA". It matches the Rfam family "Bacterial small subunit ribosomal RNA", at positions 527 to 896 of the family's 1533-position model. The record is from RNAcentral.